This 494-nucleotide ribosomal RNA is filed under the name uncultured bacterium. RNAcentral describes it as "partial 16S ribosomal RNA". It matches the Rfam family "Bacterial small subunit ribosomal RNA", at positions 28 to 507 of the family's 1533-position model. The record is from RNAcentral.
GACGAACGCUGGCGGCGUGCUUAACACAUGCAAGUCGAACGGAAAGGCCUGCUUUCCCUUGUGGAUUGCGGGUACUCGAGUGGCGAACGGGUGAGUAACACGUGAGUGAUCUUCCCCCAACUUGGGUAUAAGCCUGGGAAACUGGGUCUAAUUCCCGAUAGGACUGCAGGGUGGUGCCUGUGGUGGAAAACGAUUUUCUAGUGGUUGGGGAUGAGCUCGCGGCCUAUCAGCUUGUUGGUGGGGUAAUGGCCUACCAAGGCGGCGACGGGUAGGCUGCCUGAGAGGGUGGACGGCCACAUUGGGACUGAGAUACGGCCCAGACUCCUACGGGAGGCAGCAGUGGGGAAUAUUGCACGAUGGGCGGAAGCCUGAUGCAGCGACGCCGAGUGGGGGAUGACGGCCUUCGGGUUGUAAACUCCUUUCGACCGCGAGGAAGCCACCUGGUUGGAAGGGUGGUGACGGUAGUGGUAGAAGAAGCACCGGCUAACUACGUG